GAUGAAGAACGCAGCGAAAUGCGAUAAGUAAUGUGAAUUGCAGAAUUCAGUGAAUCAUCGAAUCUUUGAACGCACCUUGCGCCCUUUGGCCAUUCCGAAGGGCAUGCCUGUUUGAGUAUCAUGAACACCUCAACUCUUUAUGGUUUUCCAUGAUGAGCUUGGACUCUGGGGGUUUUGCUGGCUCACAGUCGGCUCCUCUAAAAUGAAUCAGCUUACCAGUGUUUGGUGGGUAUCAUGGGUGUGAUAACUAUCUACUCUUGUGGUUUUUCCACCAGGUAACCUUCAGCAGUGGAGGUUCGCUGGAGCUCAUAGAUGUCUCUCCUCAGUGAGGACAGCCCUUUGAAUGUUUGAUCUCAAAUCAGGUAGGACUACCCGCUGAACUUAAGCAUAUCAAUAAGCGGAGGA
RNAcentral lists this unclassified non-coding RNA (405 nucleotides) under soil metagenome. RNAcentral's name for it is "partial contains 5.8S ribosomal RNA, internal transcribed spacer 2, and large subunit ribosomal RNA". The stretch from base 1 to 121 matches the Rfam family "5.8S ribosomal RNA", at positions 35 to 154 of the family's 154-position model. The record is from RNAcentral.